This 442-nucleotide ribosomal RNA is filed under the name uncultured bacterium. RNAcentral describes it as "partial 16S ribosomal RNA". It matches the Rfam family "Bacterial small subunit ribosomal RNA", at positions 338 to 795 of the family's 1533-position model. The record is from RNAcentral.
CCUACGGGGCGCAGCAGUGGGGAAUAUUGCACAAUGGGGGAAACCCUGAUGCAGCGACGCCGCGUGAGUGACGAAGUAUUUCGGUAUGUAAAGCUCUAUCAGCAGGGAAGAAAAUGACGGUACCUGAUUAAGAAGCCCCGGCUAACCACGUGCCAGCAGCCGCGGUAAUACGUAGGGGGCAAGCGUUAUCCGGAUUUACUGGGUGUAAAGGGAGCGUAGACGGCAGCACAAGUCUGGAGUGAAAUUCCGGGGCUUAACCCCGGAACUGCUUUGGAAACUGUGCAGCUAGAGUGCAGGAGAGAAGUAUGCGGAAUGCGCGGUGUAGCGGUGAAAUGCAGAGAUAUCGCGCAGAACUCCGAUUGCGAAGGCAGCAUGCCGGCUCCACACUGACGCUGAGGCACGAAAGCGUGGGUAUCGAACAGGAUUAGAUACCCCGGUAGUC